This 2860-nucleotide long non-coding RNA is filed under the name Homo sapiens (human). RNAcentral's name for it is "non-protein coding PCBP1-AS1:252". The record is from RNAcentral. Lineage: Eukaryota; Metazoa; Chordata; Mammalia; Primates; Hominidae.
GUCCCCGGCGUCCGGGCGCCCUGCAUGGAUCCCCCACCCCAGCUCCUGCUCCCCGGCGGCGGCCGGUGGGCAGAAAGACCGAAACCCACUCACGGCCGCCUGCCGAAUCGCGGCUCUGCUGUUUGUGGGGCGUGCUAGAAACGUGGUCCUAAAAAGAAUGGCGUCCAUUUACAUAAUGCUUUGUUUGCGUUUCGCAAGUUUCUUUCGGUUAAAGCCACAGAAACCCCACCUCCUGCCCUUGUGUCGUUUCCACCGCGGCACCCUUUUCCGACAUUAGAAACAAUAGUGUACGCCUGUGGAGGCCUCGUUUGUUCAGGGGCUGCCGGCCAGGGCUUCAGGACGUUUCUGCGGCUUUCCCCGCGCGGCCUGGGCUCCCGCGGCUGCUUUUCGGGCCCAUGGGCGCAGCCACUGCGCCAGGCUCAAGGGGGGCGGCCCCGUCAGGGCCCGCCAUCUUGGAAGGCCUUUUUUGCCGGUUCUUCCCGCUGAGGAAGUGUCGCUCAAGACGCUGGCCUAUGAGUUGUGAUUUCUGCCUUUUCCCCUUCCUCCUUGGGCUAAGCCAGACCAGAAAGGGCCCCGUGCGCAACGUGCUUCACAAUCUCUCAGGGAAAGCGGCUAACGUGGCGCUACUCCGCCUCCCCUGUUCCUUACCCUUGGGGCGGCCGCCAUGUUUCCUGAACACAAAAUGGCGACACGUGGUUAGCAUUCGUCGCCAACGAGAAAUUGGGGUCGGCCCGAAAGCUCUAGAAUGCACCCCUCUUCCUCCCCGGGGCCUUCCACCUCCGCGAGUUUUAUGACUUAAAAAAGCCCACAGGCUGGUCUGAAGAGGAAGACAAACAUAAAGAUGAAGUGCUUAAUUCAAGGUCACACAAUGUCGGGGAUGGACCUCCAGAUUUCCUUACUGGAAAACAAGCUCAGGGCUCCCACUGAUUGUACAUUAUGAGACGGAGUCUUGCUAUGUUGCCCAGGCUGGUCUUGAACUCCUCACCUCAAGCGAUCCUCCCGUCUUGGCCUCCCAAGUGUCAGGAUUACGGGCAUGUGCUAUCACACCCAACCUGAUACAUUGCCUUUAUAAAUUUUUUUUUCUUUAUUCUAAAAACCAGAAAAAACAAAACUGGAUACAUGUGCAGAACAUGCAGGUGAGACGUGGUCUUGUAACACAGUGGUUAAGAAUGUGACUUUGGAGCCAGCCUGCUAGGGGCUGAAUUCUGACUCAGCCAUUUACUAACUGUGUGACCUUAGUCUCACUGUUGCUCAGGCUGGAGUGCAAUGGCAUGAUCUCGGCUCAUCACAACCUCUGCUUCCUGGGUUCAAGCGAUUCUCCUGCCUCAGCCUCCCGAGUACCUGGGACUACAGGCACUCGCCACCAUGCCCGGCUGAUUUUUGUAUUUUUAAUAGAGAUGGUUUCACUAUGUUGGCCAGGCUGGUCUCGAACUCCUGACCUUGUGAUCUGCCCACCUCAGCCUCGAAAAGUGCUGGGAUUACAGGCGUGAGCCACUGCGCCCAGCCUUGUAUUUUUUUUCAGUUUGGGUAGCUGUCCCUAAUUCAUUUGUUAAAGGAGAAGCAAGAGCAAGAACCUUUAAUCUGUUCUCCUCUUCCCUAAUUUGAAAGUAGCUUGUUAUUUUGAAUAUCACUUUCUCUGAAAUAGCACAUCUCCAUCUCAGAGAAUGGAUUUAAUGUUUGGAUACAGCCAAAAGUCAUUUCAUUACCAAACCAUGGGGUGAAUAUACCAUGUAAAGCAGUUUGGGAUCAGAACUCACAGUCUGAAUUGUAAGUGAUGAGACUGCUGUCUCUCUGCUACAGCUUCUUGGCUGGCUCUGAAGGCUCUUUGAAGGCAGAUCCUAACAAGGGGACUGCUUUGAAGGGCCAUUGUUCAUUUGGAAUGAUAAAGUCUAUGUUGUUCAAAAAACAAAUGCUUGUAGCAGGUAUUUUUUCACUCCAGACUGAGAAUAUUGGUGGGAUAUUGAUAAGGGGUACUGAAUGGUAAUAAACAUGUGCUCUAGCUCUGUGCUAGUCAGCUUAUUUCAGAACUCUAGUUUGAUUCAGUUUCUUGCCUCUGACUCAAAAUGGAGGGAGAGUGAUUUUUACAUAAGAGAACACACCCACAUAUCCUUUUGGCAGCAGCUACCUGCCAGAGAUGUUGAAGAAGAGUAGCCAACCUUUACACAGCAGAUAUUGUGUGCCAGUCAUAGUCCUAAGUAUAAUACCUUACAUGUAUAAACUUCUUAUAAGGUUGGUGCUCUGUACCGAAUUGAAUAGUAUCCCCCAAAAUUCAUGUUGUCCCAGAACCUAUGAAAGUGAUCUUACUUGAGGGAGGGGGGAGGGGGGAGGGAUAGCAUUAGGAGAUAUACCUAAUGCUAAAUGACGAGUUAAUGGGUGUAGCACACCAGCAUGGCACAUGUAUACAUAUGUAACUAACCUGCACAUUGUGCACAUGUACCCUAAAACUUAAAGUAUAAUAAUAAUAAAAUAAAAAAAAAAAAGAAAGUGAUCUUACUUGGAAAUAAGGUCUUUGCACAUAUGAUCAAGUUGAGAUGAAGUUGUACUGGAAAGUCUGUCUAGUGACUGGUGUUGUCAUAAGAAGAGAGGGACACAGAGGGAAGAUGGCCACAUGAAGAUGGAGGCAGAGAUUGCAGUUAUGCUGCUGCAAACUAAGGAAUGGCUCUGGCCCUCCAAGGAUUGCUGAUAACCACCAGAAACUAGAAGAGACAAGGAAGGAUUCUUCCCUAGAGCCUUCAGAGGGAGCAUGGCCCUACUGACACCUGGAUUUCAAACUUGUAGCUUCCUAAACUGCAAGAGAAUAAAUUUCUGUUGUUUUAAGCCAUAUAGUUUGUGGUAAUUUGUUAUGGCAGUCCUAGGUAAU